CCCUUAGAUGUUCUGGGCGGCCCGCGCACUACAAUGGCGUGUGCAGCGAGUGCCGAAGUAGAGUUUUCCGAGGUAUUCUUGCAAUGCUCGUUUUGAUGGGGAUAGACCCUUGCAACUGUUAGUUUUGAACGAGGAAUUCCUUGUAAGCAUGGUUUAUCAUCCGACGCUGAAUGCGUCCCUGCCCUUUGUACACACCGCCCGUCGCUCCUACCGAUGAGUCGUCCGGUGAAGUUCGUAGACCUCGUGAUCGCGGAUCACUGGGGGAAGCAAAAUGAACCUCGCGGUUUAGAGGAAGGAGAAGUCGUAACA
Molecule: ribosomal RNA, 309 nt
Filed under: uncultured eukaryote
Lineage: Eukaryota
Description: partial 18S ribosomal RNA
Rfam family: Eukaryotic small subunit ribosomal RNA
Source: RNAcentral